RNAcentral lists this non-coding RNA (29 nucleotides) under Rattus norvegicus (Norway rat). The record is from RNAcentral. Lineage: Eukaryota; Metazoa; Chordata; Mammalia; Rodentia; Muridae.
UUAGAAAGAGUUGGCUCAACUCAACAGUA